UUUGAUCAUUGGCUCAGGACGAACGCUGGCGGCGUGCUUAACACAUGCAAGUCGAACGAUGAAGCCUAGCUUGCUAGGUGGAUUAGUGGCGAACGGGUGAGUAAUACGUGAGUGACCUACCUUUGACUCUGGGAUAAGCCUGGGAAACUGGGUCUAAUACCGGAUACGACCAAUCUCCGCAUGGGGUGUUGGUGGAAAGCGUUAUGGAGUGGUUUUAGAUGGGCUCACGGCCUAUCAGCUUGUUGGUGAGGUAAUGGCUUACCAAGGCGACGACGGGUAGCCGGCCUGAGAGGGUGACCGGCCACACUGGGACUGAGACACGGCCCAGACUCCUACGGGAGGCAGCAGUGGGGAAUAUUGCACAAUGGGCGCAAGCCUGAUGCAGCGACGCCGCGUGAGGGAUGACGGCCUUCGGGUUGUAAACCUCUGUUAGCACCGAAGAAGCGAAAGUGACGGUAGGUGCAGAGAAAGCGCCGGCUAACUACGUGCCAGCAGCCGCGGUAAUACGUAGGGCGCGAGCGUUGUCCGGAAUUAUUGGGCGUAAAGAGCUUGUAGGCGGUUGGUCGCGUCUGCUGUGAAAGGCUGGGGCUUAACCCUGGUUUUGCAGUGGGUACGGGCUAACUAGAGUGCAGUAGGGGAGACUGGAAUUCCUGGUGUAGCGGUGGAAUGCGCAGAUAUCAGGAGGAACACCGAUGGCGAAGGCAGGUCUCUGGGCUGUAACUGACGCUGAGAAGCGAAAGCAUGGGGAGCGAACAGGAUUAGAUACCCUGGUAGUCCAUGCCGUAAACGUUGGGCACUAGGUGUGGGGGACAUUCCACGUUUUCCGCGCCGUAGCUAACGCAUUAAGUGCCCCGCCUGGGGGAGUACGGCCGCAAGGCUAAAACUCAAAGAAAUUGACGGGGGCCCGCACAAGCGGCGGAGCAUGCGGAUUAAUUCGAUGCAACGCGAAGAACCUUACCAAGGCUUGACAUAUACUGGACUGCGUCAGAGAUGGCGUUUCCCUUCGGGGCUGGUAUACAGGUGGUGCAUGGUUGUCGUCAGCUCGUGUCGUGAGAUGUUGGGUUAAGUCCCGCAACGAGCGCAACCCUCGUUCUAUGUUGCCAGCACGUGAUGGUGGGGACUCAUAGGAGACUGCCGGGGUCAACUCGGAGGAAGGUGGGGAUGACGUCAAAUCAUCAUGCCCCUUAUGUCUUGGGCUUCACGCAUGCUACAAUGGCCGGUACAGAGGGUUGCGAUACUGUGAGGUGGAGCUAAUCCCUAAAAGCCGGUCUCAGUUCGGAUUGGGGUCUGCAAACUCGACCCCUUGAAGUCGGAGUCGCUAGUAUUCGCUGAU
Molecule: ribosomal RNA, 1333 nt
Filed under: uncultured bacterium
Lineage: Bacteria
Description: bacterial SSU rRNA
Rfam family: Bacterial small subunit ribosomal RNA
Source: RNAcentral